Molecule: unclassified non-coding RNA, 3240 nt
Filed under: Leishmania donovani
Lineage: Eukaryota; Euglenozoa; Kinetoplastea; Trypanosomatida; Trypanosomatidae
Description: gene:LdHU3.28.4240(CDS-product:hypothetical_prote in_conserved)
Source: RNAcentral
CAUAUGCACGUAGUCGGAUAAAGCUCUCUAUCCCUGCCUUUCUCAGUUUGCAUUGUUUUGACUCUUGGGCCACUCUCAUGGCCUCCUAACUCAUCUCACCGUCCAUCCCUGCUCUACUCUCUCAAUUUCUUAUUUCCCUUCCCCGACACCGACAGGCACUGAAACUAACGCACUUGCGAGCGACUUCGUGUGACGCGCGAUAGGAGAGUGAAGCAUCGCUAUUUAGCACGGCGUUUGCUGUUACUGUUGCUGUUGCUGUUACUGCUGCUAACAACUAGAGUCUCUCCAUCUUCUCUGGUGUCGGUACUAUCGCCCUCCUAUCUCUCAUUCUUUUCCCUGCCGACCCGCUCGUCUUCCUUCGUUCGCGCCUCCCAGAGAAGAGUCUCGCUUCCCUUUUGUUAUUUUUUGGCAAGACAGAAAAGGAGCGAGAAGUGCGAGAAGGGUGCCAUCGCCUUCUUGCCCGCUCCUGCCAGCGUAUCCACGGGCUCAUACAGCUCACUAUUUGUUUUGUGUGUGUGUGUGCGCCAGUGACUGAUCGUUAUUGAUGGGUGUGCGAAGAGAGGGGGAAACAAACGUCGACUGUGUUUGCAUCUCUGCGUGUGUGCUUCUUCUCACUUUCCACGCUACCUCGAAUGAGUUACCUUCUGCUGCUGCCUCUUCACGUUUCUCUCCUUGGUUAGCGUGUCUGUAUUUGUCUUAGUCGAUCUGUUUUUCUCGUUUCCUCUCGAUUCUUACCUCACCACUCAAUUCGAAGCUACUUUUGCCUCGCGCUUCUGCCCCUUACCGCAUUCGGUACAUCUUCCCGUGCUUCAUCUCCUGAGCAGCGCACUGGCCUGCCCACCUUUGCUACCUCGCCCCUGCCCCCCCCCCCCACACACACCUUGGCUGGCUUUCUCACUUUGACCCGUCAACCGAAAAACAACAAUAAAAAAACUCUCGAAGUGAAGGGCGCGAAGCACUUCCAGCCCCCCCCCCCCACGAACCCACACACUUAAACGCCGUCACUCACACGCGCGCUGCUGUUGUUGCACUGGUGCGCCUGUCCGUGUGCCUGUGCGGCUUUUGUGUGUGUGUGUGUUCGACUCUCUUGUUCUCUUGCGGUGCCACUGGAAUGAAAGAAGUGAUGCACCGCAACCGCAACCGACGCAGGGGACCGCCGGAGGGUCGCUCAGUGCAGAACGUGCUGAGCACCGAUGGCAUCCCACCCGGCAUGUUUGCCGUGAUCGACCCCCUCAGCAAGCGCCUGUUUAUCCCUUUAGAGUCUAUGCUGGACACUCGCGCGAUGCACCGCAAGGGCGUGCCUUCGCUCUGCCGGGUAUUUCUGGAGGGGCGCUGUCGGCAGGGCACGAACUGCUUCCAAGCGCACGCCAAUAUCGAUCUGGUGCUCGAGUUACGGGCUAAGGCUCUCGCGGAGCCGACAUGCUGCGCCCUCCACGGCGCGCCGAGCGAUAACUCAGGCAUCGACCCUGCCCUGCGGCUGAUCGUGCGGAACGACGACGGUGAGACGGUAGGGUGUGCGCAGCUGCCACAGACGCUGGUAACCAACGGACUGCGCACUCUCAUUGCCGCUCAGACGAGCGCCGCUGGCAUGCAGGCACCAGUAGAUGUAGUCGUGCCAACCUCGGCGCUCUGCCGGUUGCACAGCGGCGCCGAUGGAUCGCCCUGCUGCCGCUUCGAGGGAGAAUGCAAUUUUGUGCACCUGUGCCGCCAACUGAUGGCUCACAUUGAUCAGCAGAGGGCGACGGUCAAGGUGGAGAAGCACCUCACUGCACCAGUGAUGGCCAUAGGAAGGCCCCCUGAAGCCAAUUAUGAAGAAUUCAUGACUGUCCUGGACAAGGGAUUUCACGGUUCUGCCUCCUCUCCCCUGCAGAUGCGCUCGCAGCCGGCGUCAUCGGUGACGGUGCCGAUGAGCGUGAGCGCCAACCUCGGUGUCACCCCUCCAAUCCGCUUCGACCCCCUUGCGCUCGCGGCGACAGCUCCAAGCCCGACGCCGGACAACGGUGUGCUCUUGUUGGGGCGAUCCCCUUUGAUGUCAAGGUCCUUCAGCUCCACUGCCUCUGGGUUGGUUUGGCGCCACAACCCGUACAACUCCUCUCACGCCUCCUCUGUAAUAGAAACCUGAUAAAGUGUGUCCGCAUGUGUGCGUGUAUUAAUAGAUGUGCCCCCACGAGUGAGUGCAUCGGUACGUGUGUGUGAGAACGGCUUGCGCUCUUUUUCCUUUGAGCAUACUAUCACCUUUGUGCCCAACACAGAGAUGUCGCCCAUCUACGCGCUCGCAGAAAUGUAGAAGACAUCAAAGGCAGCGCUGACGGAAUACCAGGCCCCUCCAUCCACAUACAUAGACAUGUACACACUGUCACAUACCUACAAUCGCCCCGGGUGUCACAGCACUUUCCAGCUCCUCACUUUCUUCCUGCCCCCUCCCCCUCUGUGCUCCCCCUCCCCACCUGCUCUGCUCUUCAGCUCUCUCCUUCUCGUGCUUUUUCUUUUGUUUUGUGCACCUCACAUUUGAUCUCAAUGUGCGCUUCCUUGUCGCGUUGUGCGUGAGGCCUCUCUCUGACCCUUAUUCGUUCGGCUGCCGUCUUCUUUGUUUUACCCUCCUCUCUUACUCUCCCGCGUUGUAUCCGGGUGUGCAUACACGUGUGCGUGUGUGUGUGUAUUUGCGCCGAACGGCAGGCACGCGGUGCGUUGGUGCGGGUGAUGGGUUAAGCAGCGCGGUGGAUAGAGGUCAGGGAAAGGGGUAUUACUGCAGCAGUAACGCAAGCUACUUCUGUUCUUUUCAUUUAAUGCUUUGAUUGCUUCCAGCUCUCGGUAUAAGUUGAUUAGUUUGUCCUGCGUUCUUAUUUCUCUCAAAGGUACUGCGUGAUGAACGGGCGCGAGUCUUUUGGGUAGGUUGAAGCUGCACAUCACCUCUCUUUUUCUCUACAACCACCAGUUGGUGCAACAUUCCCUUGCUUGUGAACGGAGAAAGGAAUUAAGUGCGGACUGGGAUGUGCAGUCACACCAAAGCACAUGAGAACAAGCGAGUAUGUGAAACACCCACAACACGCAGAUGCACCUCGAGUACUCCUUCAACAUUGACAGUCCUGAGCCGCUGCUGCAACUCUCGACUUCCACCCCUACUUUUUCUCUCCUUCCUUUGGCUGGAGCGUUUUGAGCGCGUGCGUAUGUACGCAUGUUGGUAUGCAUCUAUAUGUGCGUAUGACUAAUAAUAAUUCGGCGCGGUUCUUCGUGGUGCAG